Molecule: long non-coding RNA, 9666 nt
Filed under: Homo sapiens (human)
Lineage: Eukaryota; Metazoa; Chordata; Mammalia; Primates; Hominidae
Description: non-protein coding LINC01619:10
Source: RNAcentral
AAAUUCUUUUUCCUAACAUAAAUUUAGGAAGUUGAGUAUGAAGAAGAAUAAAUGGGUCUAGGCUGGAAGAACUUGAUUGAUUGAAAUAAAAAAAUUAAAGGCUUUUUGUCCCACAGUGAUAAUCAAAACAUCCUUCUAUUAUUUAAAAAACAAAUCUUGAUGUCUAGUUUUUAUUUUGAUGUUAAGAUGGGUUCUCAGACCCUAGCCUAAGAUCUGGAUUUCUGUGUUGUCUUCAUGACAAAAAAAAAAAAACAAAAAAAAACCAAAGACAACAAAUGGAAUAAACCAUUGUAAGUAAAAAGGAGAUGUAAACAGAGCACUGAGAACCUUACUUUUUUUUUUUUUUUGAGACAGAGUCUCGCUCUGUCGCCCAGGCUGGAGUGCAGUGGGGCAAUCUUGGCUCACUGCAAGCUCUGCCUCCCGGGUUCAUGCCAUUCUCCUGCCUCAGCCUCCCGAGUAGCUGAGACUACAGGUGCCCACCACCACGCCUAGCUAAUUUUUUUGUAUUUUUAGUAGAGACGGGGUUUCACUGUGUUAGCCAGGAUGGUCUCGAUCCCCUGACCUUGUGAUCCGCCCGCCUCAGUCUCCCAAAGUGCUGGGAUUACAGGCAUGACGCACCGCACCCGGCCGAGAACCUUACUUUUAAUACAAUUUUAUGUUUACUUUGUCUACUCAGCCACUAGUCGGUUCUUGCUGACGUUAUUUCAAAGGCUGAAGAAAUAAAUUUGUCUUGCCCACAAUUACUAUGAUUCUUUGUUUUUGUUUUUUUAAUAGAAUCCACACUUUCCUCUUUAUUUGUAAUGGGUUUCUUGGUUCUACAUGACACACAGCACCCCUUCCCAAUCAUGUUGCCUCAAGAAAGAAAUAGAGAAUAUGUAGAAAAUUAAAGCACUUACAUUUGGAGUUGAAAGAAAAGAAGGCAAUUGCAAAAGAUCUCUCCUUAUUCUGUAAUGGAAGAGUGCAAAUAAGCACAUUUUUCCUGUCCUUCUCUAAGAUGCUCCUGGCCCACACAAUGCGCUUGAGAAUAAAUCAGUAAUUCUCUAUCAUCAGCACUGCAUUUACUCAGUCUCUAGGUAUGGCACCUCAACAAUGAGCAAAGUCUGAGCUUCCUCUCAGCCGGGGAAGGCUUCGUAGUAAAAGUGGCAUUUAGUAGAACUCAUGACGAGCUGAGGGAUGCCAAUAGUGAAAAGGCAAUGAUGUCAAGACUGUAAAGCUAAGGCUGUUUAGUGAAUAGAGUAUUCCAGUUUACCUAGAGUACAAGUUAUGUGUGUAAGUAAGGCCUUGUCCUAAAAAAAAAAAAAAAAAAUCAGUCUAGUGAGGAAAAAAUGUAAAUAAACAAAUGAAUGAGUACAUUUUGCAUUCUGAGUUAUGCAGAAAGUGCUUUGCAACAUAGAGGAAAAAGCCCUAACUGUUGUGGUGGUUGAGAGUUGAUUGGAAAGCCUCAUGGCAGGCUGAGUCUUGAUAGAGCAGUACUUUGCCCAGUGGAAAUAAGAAGAAAGCAUAUAGAAGUUCUCCUUAUCCUUUGGACUUGCAAUACACACAAAACUUUCUGGGGCUUUCUAAGGAAAUUUUAUUUCAAGAUUCUGCUAGGCAAUAACUCUCCUUCCUUAAAUUGAAGGGUAAGGACUCUAAGUUCUGCUUUUUCUUUUCUCACUGAAUUUGCUUAGGUUUUUUUUUCGUUUUUGUUUGUUUUUUUUUUUUUCACCUUUCUCACUGGUAUUGAUCACUUUCUCUUCCUUAGUAAAGCUCCAUUUGCUUCUCUCCUAACCUGGACAUUAUAGGAAGCACUGAUGCUGUAUUAAAAUUUAGAGAAAGCUCCCAGUCUGUCUUUCCCAACAUCCCUUCAGUUUCAAUAAGCAAAAAAAAAAAAAAAAAGAUUUUGACAUUUCUGCUUUCUGUUUGCAUAUAUUUACGUGGUGUAAUUUUCCAUGUGCCUUUAUUUUAAAACUUCCUUUGUCAUUUGGUUUUAGGCAUGUUUCUUGAAUAUAGUAAUAAGCUGGUGUAUCCAUUAGGAUAAUUUGGGUUGCAAAUAAUGCACAAGGGUUUAAAAAAUGAAGUGAGAUAUGUUUGCUUUUAUAAAGUUCUAGGACAGAUCUAGUCCAGGCAUGGUUUGUGUGUUGUGACUUGAUUUCUCUCUAUUAUUUCAGCUUUCAUUUCCUGGUGUGUUGUGCAGCUUCUCUCGUGGCAGCAAAAUGGCCACAGAGGUUUGAUUCCAGGCCUUUCAUGUGUUUACACCUUACAGUCCAGCAGAAGAAAGAGCUCCUCUUCUGAAAACCUUGAAAGCUCUUGAAUCUUAUGUCUAAUCCCCCAACAAAUCACUAUGAUGGCAUGCCAUACCACACUGAGUCUGGGUCUGUGCUACUUAUCCUUGAACCAAUCACUUUGGUGAGGGGAUCGGUAUUAUGAUAAAUGGUUAGUUUAUGUAAAUUAAGGCUGAAGCCUAAAAUUGAAGCUUGAGAUUCAUUCCCACUCAAGUUAAUGUGCUAUUAUUCGAAGGAACAGAGUAAGUACUAUAAAUAUUGGAAAGAAGUUAGCACAUUUCUCACUGCUGGAAAACCAUACAAUUCCAUAUCUUCAAAAGCCAAAUGGAUCAACUCAUAAAGUAUAUCAGAAAUAAUCAGAAAUAAGUAAGAUUAUUUUUACAAGAUUAAUAAUGGAAAAAAUUCAAUCAUUUUUAUAUAAAAAUAACCAAUUAGAAAAUAUAAUUAAAGGAACUACUGAAAUAAAUUUAUUAAGAAACAUGCACUAUUUAUAUGAAAAUACAUGCAGUUUCACUGAGAGAUCUAAGAUGACAUUAUAAAGAUAUGUGUUCUCCUUAAAUUUGUGGGAACACUUAACCUGGUUGUGAGUAAAAAAAGAAUGAACAUUUGAGAUGUUGAAACAACUAUCGGGAAGAUGUCAAUGAACAGCUCAAGACUGGAAUUAAUUCCACAGAGAAAUGAUGACUGAAUAGUCAAUUUAGAAAGUAAAAACUUGGACUUAAAUUCCAAAAUGAAAAAAAAAAAAAAAAACAGACUAAUAGUGAUACAGUUAGAUACUAGGUCACUGUCACAGCUCCUGUACCAAAUAGUCCACAGUUCUUAAUUAUACACAUUUGAGAGACCAUUUGAUUAAGGAUUGUCUCCCCACUGUACUGUAAACUCUACGGAUAGAGAGAUCUGGACCACUUUGCUCACCAUUGUAUUCCUUCUACCCAGCUCAGCAGUACAUACUACAUACCUAAUGAAUGAAUGAAUGCAUCAAUGGCUUUAAAAGCCCUGGCCAUGCUCCUUACCCCAUCUCCUCUCAGAAUCUGUCCGAGAACCCCCAUUUUGAAUUCAUCUCUCGAUUUUUUCCAAUCCGAUCAUGCUUAACCUCUUCUCUAGUAGGCAGUAGCUCCAGAGAGUAGUUAAGUCAGGAAAAUGGUCAGGUUUGUGUUUAAGGAUGAACAUUAGUGCAAGGCUUUGUCCAUAGGAGUGAAUAAUAAAGGUCUGUAAAAGUUGAAAUUUUGGUUAAAUUUGAAAUGUUCAAAGUAUUAUGUCGUGUUUCUAAUGACAUGAAAGUUUGAGUCAUCUGUGAUGAAUUCAGUGGGAGUCCACACCCAUAAGUAGAAAUCCAGGCUCUAGUAUUGGUGUAAGAAGUUAAUAUCAUCUUCUUACAUUCUUCUUUGGUUUUCUUUUGCACACCUACCUUUAUAAUCUUGUUAAUAAAUUCUAGCAGAUCAUGAUAACCAGGACAUGGCAGGAAAUAAUGAUUAACUAAUCUGUGUUUAUCCUGUCAACUGUACUGUAUCUGGGAACAUAAGUCCUCAUGGAAAAAUUUGGCCUUUGUUUAUUUAAAUCUGCUCCCACAAAGGAAAGGUAACGCAUGAGUUUUGCCAAGGCUGCAGGGCUUUUUAUUCUUUCCCUGCCCCACCUCCCCCACCCUUCCAAUAGAAAUCUAAGGGCUGCAGGUUUAUUGCUCUUUAUUCUAUUCAAUGCAAAAUGAGUUGUCCUUGUUGUCCUUCAGCCUUGUUUUGCCAAGUUUUCAUUUGGACUAAUAGAUGGUGUAUUUCAAAAAAUAGUGCUCAAAAUGUAAUAUGGCACCAUUAGCUUUGGACUACCACAGAGAGUUUGGAGAAUUUCCUGGGGCCUAUGUGUUAAUUUAAAGUUGCAGGAAAGAACAUGGGAAGGAACAACAAUAGCUGUGGUUAUACUCUAUCCUAGAGCUGCCAUUACAGGCAUGAGCCACCGCGCCCGGCCCGUUUCUUGGACUUUCAAGAUCGUGCAGCCCUUCCUUAGUGGUGGAUUGGAUGGAGAAUGGCUGAAGUACAUGGCCACUCCCACAUGAAGUGUCUUGAGCCUUAGCCUCUCCUCAAGCAGUUACUUCCAACAGCAAGUGACCUUUAUAAAUAUGUUUAAUAUUUUAUAUCAAUAUCAGAGCUCAGCACUUUAUAUUAAAUUUGGAGAUGUGCGUGUCUGAUAUUUGGCAUUGCAUAAGAGAGUAAGGUAUCUUCUUCAAGCUUCCUGCAUGAUUUGGGCAACACCUAAGCUACCUCCAUGUACAAUUUCAAGUGUCAGGAACAGUGCACUUGGGUAACCCAAAACCUACUUUUGUGCAUAAUAUCUCAAAAAUUUCUGUGUUCUUCAGCACAGUACACGAAGGCCACGCCAGACUCAGACUACCCUCCUUCUAUGACAGAUUCAAGGAUUUGUGCACUCUUGUCUGAUACACUGGAGUAAAAAACGAUUAUUGAGUUGGUUUUCCAGAAAUGAGAAUACAUUGUGUAUAAUGCUAUGUACCCUUUACCAUAGACCCUCUUGAACCCAAAGUAUAUAUUUGCAAGAUGGCAUCCCUAUCAGAUGAGGUCUUUGGUGAUAGAGCUGAAAAAAAUUAACUGUUUCCUAUAGGAAUCUUAUCUCUGAUUAGACAACAGGUCUAGAACUAAUAGAAAAAACUAAAUGUCUGUGUUCCUCAAAUAAAGAAACAUCUUAAAAAUAUCAUAGGUAUUCAAGAUCGCAUGUCUACUGACUCCAAUUUGAAAAAUGCUGAUUUAUAAAGCUAAAGUAUUAUUCUAAGAAACUGCUUUUUUGUUCCAAUUGUAAGUGGUAAGAGUUCUUGUGUUUUGCACAAUAAUGGCUCCCCAAAGACAUCUAUAUUCUAAUCUAUAAACAUGUUGCCUUACAUGGCAAAUGGAACUUUGCAGAAGUGACUAUGUUUAAGGAUCUUGAAACAGGGAGAUUAUUCAGGUGGCCCCAAUCUAAUAAUCUGAAUUCUUAUACUUGGAGAAUCUUUCCAGUCUUUAGUCAGAGAAAGAGAUGUGACGAUGGUAGCAGACUCAGACACGUGCUUCAUCACUGGCUUUGAAGAAGGAAGAAGAAGGCUGCAGGCCAAGGAAUGCGGCUACCCUCUAGAAGCUGCAAAGGCAAGAAUGGUUUCUCCUCUAGAGCCUCCAGAAAAAGAUUCUGUUUCACCAUUCCAUAGACCCAGAUCCCAACAACCAUUGCUCUUCAGUACCCCUUCCUUCUUAACCAAUGGGAGGAGAAUUCAGCUAUUUAUACUCUGUUAAACUACUGGGUAGAUUCAGACAAUAGUUUACACAUUCUGUGAUUGUUAUUAUUCUUUAAAUCCUCCUUUGUUAUAAGUAUCAAUUUAUACUAUUUCCUUGUUAGGGUUUUUAAUAAAAAUAUCUGCAUUAAGGUGUUCAUUAAGCAGGUAUGCUGACACCUUCAUAUUCUAAGCCACCAUCUUUUCUUACUUGAAUCUUGGAAAACCUCCUAACUGGUUUCUCUUUGUCCAGCUGUUUCAUUCUCCACAGUAUAGCUGGGGUAAUCUCUACAACAUGAACUUGAUCCUGGCUAGUCUUCUGCUUGUGGUUCUUUAUAAAAAGGGGAGAUGUAGUAAUGGACAGGAUCCAGCUUGUGCAGCAAUUAUGGUUGGUCUAGGUUGGGGGCAUUCUGGGUAGCCAUGUGAAAUACUGAUUAUAGCUGGACCUUCUCAUCUUUGCUCUGUGAUACCACCUGAAUUAUUUGAAUAAAAAUCAAAUCUUUCCUCCUUAAGAAUCCUUGAUGGCUUUCUGUUGCAUGUGGAGUAAAGUUCAAACAUCUUAGCACGAAGAAUUCGUCAGUUAAAGGCUGGCCCCUACUUUUCCUUAUCUUCUACUACCUCCUUCUCCAUCCCCUCAUCAUGUCUAAGAUGUGUGAAGCUUUCUUCCACCUUGCCUACCUAGCCAACCCUUACUUGUAUUUUAAGACCUGCCAGCUGGUUGUGGCUAAGGAGAGACAUACAUGGCAGAGAACUGAUGUCUCCAGACAACAUCCAGCAAGGACUGAAGUCUGCCAACAGUUACAUGAGUGAGCCUGGAAGUGGAUCCUUCCGUAGUUGAGCCUUGAGAUGACCACAGCCUAGCAAUAACAUCUUGAUGGUUUUGUUCUUUUGCUUUGAGGGGACUUUGGUGCUGAAAACACUCAAAACUCUGCUUUUCACAGGCAGCACGUAAACAACAGCAAACCUGGAAGAUGUUAGUCCUUCAAGAUGUGCAGGUUAGCACACUCUGGUUUCAUUGUACUCUCUUAUGAUCCAGUAGCCUCAGAUCCCCCAGACCAGGUAUACUUUUAUAAAUACAUACAGAACCAAUCAAUAUUUAUUUUUGGGUCACUAAAACUAUUCUAGCAAAUUCCUUAAUAAGGUCUCUAGAUGAAAAUACAUCUGAAACCAAAGAAUAGUUUUGCUUUCACAACUUCCAGUUCCGAUAUUUUAAAACACUGAUUUAAACCUUUUCAUAUGUAACAAGUGAGACUCGGGGGGGACCUCUGACUAUGUGAAGAUACGGUGGGAAGAUGACUGACCGCAAGACAGGAAGAGAGCCCUCACCGAGGAACCAAAUUGGCCAGUAUCUUGAUUUUGGAUUUCUCAACCUCAAGAACCAUGAGAAAUGAAUGUCUGCUGUUCAAGCCACCCAGUCAAUGGUAUUUUGUUAUGGCAGCCCUUUUCCCACUCUCCUGGCCAUGAUGGAAGUCCAUGAGAGCAAGCAUCUUUGUCCGUUUGGCUCACUGUUGGAUUCCCUGUUUUAAAAAUAUCACCCGGCCCAGCGUAGAUAAAGUUUUACUGAACACAGUGUAUUAAUUUUCUUAUUGUCUCUGGCUGCUUUUACAUUACAACAACAGAAUUGAGUCAUGCCUUGCAAAUCCUAAAAUAUUUGCCCUCUCAUCCUUGAUAGAAAAAGUUUGGAAACCUUCAUCUAGAAAGUGGUCUAGCAAAGUGUGGUCCAUGGAUGAGUUUGAUCUGCAAACUGCUUGUUAUUGGUUCAUGACAAGAAUUGGUUCCAAACAGUAAAGCCGCCAGAAAAAACAGACAAACUCUUAGGAACAACAAUGCCCAUUAUGUGUGGAGUAGAAGCUGCCAGACUUUGAUUACUGGCCAGAGAUUAACCCCUUUGGUGUCUUAGGGGGGAAAAUGCCAAGUCUGAAUCCAGACAUUUCCAGGAUUUUACAGUCAUUCAUGGUAUGAGACCAGGCGAUUUAUAAUGACUUGUGCAAAAAAAAAAAGACUAUUGGGAGAAGGAAGUGCAAGUCAAAGGCCACGGCUCCUUGCUUCCUGAAUUCUGCCAUGACUAAUUCCAGCAAGCGGACAUAGACCUGAUCACCUCUGCUUUUCCCUUUGCUAGCCUGCCUGGUCAUGGAUGAGAAGCACGCUGCUCUUGCUACCUUCAUGUGGUGGUUUGGGUCCUGAAACAUCCACCUAUUUUCAGAAUAAACUAAAAUAAUUUCUUAAUUUCUUGAGGGCACAUUUGCAUUAUUUGUGUCAGAAGGAGGCUGGCAAAUUUGGCACUCACAGAGGGAAACCUAUGUGCUUCGUGAGGUCAUUGCUUAGAGUACAACUGCUACCAAGAACAUUCCCUGCAAACUCUUUUGUGAUCAGUUUCUUCCCUUCUCUCAUAUACCCUCUGCAGGUCUACCAAUUGCAUUUUGAGAGCUCAGAUAAGCAGAGAGCAAUGCAAUUUGUCACAGAAGGAUGAUUAUGUAUAUGCACUGUCAUGUCUAUUUCCAUGCCUAACUCAAAGGAGACACAAGGAGAAAGUGAGCUCAGCCUGGAUAAAUUGGAGAUUGUGAUGACUUCUAGGAAGCCUCAGGAAAGAGAAACAAAGACAACACUGGCCUGCUGCUCUCUGCAAUGGUGGGACCCUUGUGGGAUAACUGUUUUAGGAAUGAAGGUGUCUACCCUCUCUAGAAAUGAAAAUGCAAGUUUGGCUGUGGUUAAGUAUUGGAUGGAGGCAAAAAGAAACUGACAUAUUUUCUUCUUUUCAAUUGUUUGAUUCACCCUGAAGGGCAUGGCUGCUUAAUUUUUUUCUCCAGAGAUAGGUGGACAGAUAAAGACAGGAAAGUAACAUCCACAGACUGCCCUCUGUGAAGGUGACAGUGAUGAAAGGAAUGCUUGAUCUGAACACUGGUAAAUAAAGUGACCGCAUAUUUCCCUAGCCAGGAGAGCAAUCUGGCUCAAAAGAAACGAGAACAAUGACAUUACUGCCAGGCUGCUCCUAAGCCUUUGGCUAUUCUGUUCAGUGCACAAAAAAAAGCAGUGAACAUAGCUGUGACCUGCCUUGUUGGUAGUAUCACAAUUCUUUGGGGCUCCACUUUAAGAAAUUGAGACCUACCUACCUUAAUCCUUGGGGGGUUAAGCUUUCAGACUGGAAUGAUAACUGAACUAUUCAUUUGCAGUAAUUCUGGGUUUUGUGCAUAUUUUAAAAAGGAAUACCGGGCUUGCCUAUAUUCAUUACAACGUCCUCCCAGCUUUCAAAUCUUCCAAUACAAUGCCUCUUCUCUAGUCUUUUAAGCACAUCCUGUGACUGGAUAUGAUUAUGGGAGAUUUACAUGCAUCCUUGUCUAUUGUAUCAAAAGAUCAGGGAAUAAAAUGCCCAUCAUUAAAACCCCAAAGUGAUUGGAUUGGCAUGAGGAAUGGGGAUGGGGCUGGCAUGGAAGAGAGGGUUCUGACUCUGAGAUUUCAUGAAAUGCAAAACAAUAGGACAGCUGCUCUUCCAUAAACAGAUUAUUAUUAUUAUUUCUACCUAGACAGCUUGAUAGCAGCCAUUAUCUUCUUUCUGGGUGUCUUAUCAAGUUCCGGCUGUGUGCAGCAUGGGUGAUAAGGAAAGAGAAAUGUCACCCAUGGGAUUGCCAAGGAUUAUUUCUAUGCACUGCUGUUCAGCAACAGCCAAUCUCUCAGAACUGAGAAGAAGUCCUAUUGUUCACGCUGGGCAGUUGCUAUUCUGACUAUCCCAAGAGAGCAGAAAAGGGAUGUAGUUGCCAUUGUGCAAAAGAUUGAUAUUUCAUUACUCUCAGCUAAAGUUCUGAAAAGCAGAAUCAUCAUGAAAUAUCUUUGAAGAGAGAAAAGACAAGGGAAGAAAAGAAGAACGAAAUGAGUUCAGAGCUUUUUAGAACUGUGAGGGAGUGCGAAAAAAGAAAGGUGUAAUACUUUCAAACAGUGGAAGUUAAAAUGCCAGGCGUGUAAGCCUCAGUGAAAUUGAGCAGCAUCACGUCACCACGACUUGUGGUCCAGCUGUUUAUUGCAAAGACUCCAUCCUGCGUUACUCAUCAGAAAAUAGUUAACUUUGUAUCUGGCAUUAUUUUAAUUAAAAAAAAAGUUAACUUACUAGCCAGGGACAGAUGGCAGGAAUGGAGGUGGGAGUGGAGGAGUGACACUAUACACUUGGUC